RNAcentral lists this long non-coding RNA (569 nucleotides) under Homo sapiens (human). Its description in RNAcentral is "HSALNT0123097". The record is from RNAcentral. Lineage: Eukaryota; Metazoa; Chordata; Mammalia; Primates; Hominidae.
GUGAGGAGCGUCUCCGCCCAGCAGCCACCCCGUCCGGGAGAGAGGCAGGGGCUUGACAUCUCCUUGUGAAACUAGCUAGCCAAGUUCCAGAAAUGGGAUGGAGGGUCUGGCCCACCCCUUUGUAGCACAGUCCUGGAGAUGACAGCAGCCUUCCUGGGUGCGGGGCAAGCAAUCUCAUCUGCCUGUCUGCAGUGGAGCAGUUUGAGCAGCUCCCCAGCCUGGUGCCACACAACAGCAUCAUGCCCACGAGGUCUUAUUCCAGGUGAGCCUCACAUACCAUGUUGUCAAAGGUGCCUGCUGGGCCUUCCAGGGGUGCUGCAAUUUCUCUCUGUGCCCAUUUAGUGCAGGUGUCAGAGCAUCUGCAGCUGGAUCUAGGUGCCAGUGCUAUUCUGAGGCUCCCGGGAACCUCUUAAUGUUGUAGACACUGCUCACUGUGUUUCCAGGGACCAAAUAAAUUGGUAAAAUGGCACAAGCUGGCCAUGUGUGAAAUGGAGAGGGAACGGGUCAAUUGGAAAACUUACAAAACUUCUAAGAAGGCCAGGCACGGUGGCUCAUGCCUGUAAUCCCAG